RNAcentral lists this long non-coding RNA (261 nucleotides) under Mytilus galloprovincialis (Mediterranean mussel). The record is from RNAcentral. Lineage: Eukaryota; Metazoa; Mollusca; Bivalvia; Mytilida; Mytilidae.
GUUCUGCCGUCUGUGGGGAUAUCAUCGAUAUCAUCAGUGCUUCGGUACUAUCAUACUUUGUAACAUACCUUUCUUAAACACCCUUUUGAUAAAUGUAGAAGUAUGUAGAGAACAACUGAGGUUCCAACUCCUAAAGGAAAAGUUAACCACAUAUGGAUUUUUCUAUUCGUUUUUUAUUUGGUUCAUACAGCUCCUAACUUACUUUGGUAUCCAAGUAGUUGAUGGCUUUGACCUUUUUAGAUUUGUACGUUCCUGCAAAUU